This 253-nucleotide ribosomal RNA is filed under the name uncultured bacterium. RNAcentral describes it as "partial 16S ribosomal RNA". It matches the Rfam family "Bacterial small subunit ribosomal RNA", at positions 524 to 776 of the family's 1533-position model. The record is from RNAcentral.
GACAGAGGGUGCAAACGUUGUUCGGAAUUACUGGGCGUAAAGCGCGUGUAGGCGGCCCUGCAAGUCGGAUGUGAAAUCCCACGGCCCAACCGUGGAAGUGCCUCUGAUACUGCCGGCCUCGAGGGGGAUAGGGGCGUGCGGAACUCAGGGUGGAGCGGUGAAAUGCGUAGAUAUCCUGAGGAACACCGGUGGCGAAAGCGGCGCGCUGGAUCCCUUCUGACGCUGAGGCGCGAAAGCCAGGGGAGCAAACGGG